Non-coding RNA from Cinara cedri, 300 nucleotides. The record is from the annotation of a GenBank genome assembly. NCBI's taxonomy places the organism in Eukaryota, Metazoa, Arthropoda, Insecta, Hemiptera, Aphididae.
CUCGGGGGUUCUCCCGAUAAACGGAAAAGAACAGGGGAAAAACUCUGACUAUACUCACAGUAAAAAAUUAAUUCGUCUAUUAUUGUAAGCCGCAACUUGCAACCAGUGUUAAAAUUAUGAAUAUUCGAUUAUGAAAUAUGUUUAACGCUCAAAAUUGUGUCGAUUGCAUUCCGAACACCCACAUAACGUUAACGCAGAGUGAGUAUGUAAUCCCGUAAUAGAAAAACGAUUCAUUUAGAAUAAUUAUGAACCGAUUCAAGUGUUUGUUCCGGGCCCAGCGUAUUGGCGAUGUUGUUUGUG